Molecule: ribosomal RNA, 492 nt
Filed under: uncultured bacterium
Lineage: Bacteria
Description: partial 16S ribosomal RNA
Rfam family: Bacterial small subunit ribosomal RNA
Source: RNAcentral
AGUGAACGCUGGCGGUAGGCCUAACACAUGCAAGUCGGACGGCAGCACAGUAAGAGCUUGCUCUUACGGGUGGAGAGUGGCGGACGGGUGAGGAAUACAUCGGAAUCUACUUUUUCGUGGGGGAUAACGUAGGGAAACUUCCGCUAAUACAGCAUACGACCUACGGGUGAAAGCAGGGGAUCUGCGGACCUUGCGCGAUUGAAUGAGCCGAUCUCGGAUUCGUUCGUUGGCGGGGACAAGGCCAGCCAAGGCGACUAUCCGUAGCUGGUCCGGGAGCAUGGUCACCCACACUGGAAGUGAGACACAGUCGAGACACCUACAGGGGGAAGCAGCGGGGAAUAUUACGCGAUGGGGGAGAGCCUGAUACAGCCAUACCGGCGGAGUCAUGAAGGCCUUCGGGUGGGAAAGCCCUGUUGUUGGUAAAGAAAAGAAGCAGGUUAAUCCGCCGCGGUACUGACGGUACCCAGAGAAUAAGCACCGGCUAACUCCGUG